This is a long non-coding RNA of Lynx canadensis (Canada lynx), 1570 nucleotides long. RefSeq lists it as uncharacterized. The record is from RefSeq and is a predicted model, not a curated record. The transcript has 3 exons. NCBI's taxonomy places the organism in Eukaryota, Metazoa, Chordata, Mammalia, Carnivora, Felidae.
GGGAAGGUUUGAGAAAGAGAGACAGAAUCCCACGGGCUCCUGUGAACAGGGCCACCUCUGACUCACCCUCUUCACUGCAGCUCGCCACAGAGCUGGCCCAGAUUCAAGGGCGGGUGAACAGACCCUGCUUCUUGAUGGGAGGGGCCGGCAAGCCCCCAUCGCAGAAGACGCGGACCCGGGGACCGAAUUUGCCGUAAAUCGAACACCACUUGUGAUACCCACGAUAUUCAGUAAGGUACAAUUCCCAACCACAAAGUACCCGGCAACGAAGCAAUUGGAAAAGUCGUUUGGAGUUGGCUGUUUUGGGACCUGCUACUUGCGAAUGUCAGAACGAUUUCAAGACUGGCUUCUCGGAGAUGGGGCCUGGGAACGGCAUGUGGAGGAUCUGGAAGAGGGGCAGCUCAAAAUAGAGACACCUUUGGUGACUGGAGCUUUAGGAAGAGAGAAGGCCGGAGAGGCAACAGGAAUGGAUGUGAAGAUACUACAGGCCAAACAGCCGGGGCCUCACUGGAGGAACAUGCCUCUUCACUUAGACUGGUCAGGCACAAAUUCAGUGCAGCACGGGCAGUGGCCUCUGUCGAAGGUGACAGUCUGGCCGCGAUACGUCCGAAGUGCCCCCCUGCCAGCUCUAGACAAGGAACCGUGUCCAGAGAAGGCCUGGCCGCUGGUCGGGUCUCAGUUAAGUGCAUAUUAGACAAAUGCACGGCGGGUUGCAGCCGAGACUUCAUGGCAAGUAUUGCCCCAGAUGCUGUUGGUGACGGCCUCUCCCCCAUCCCUUGGCUCCUACAUUUCUGUGCAGCCGGUAGACUCCCAACGGCGACCAUCUGUAUCUCCUUGCCUACGCUGCCCACACGCUGGGUGGGCUGGAAGUGCCGGGGAGGUGCCCUCCCCGCUCAGGCAACCCCCUUAGCCCUGACUGAGGGGAGCUGGUGGAUAAAUGCCCAGGUCCCUCCCCGCAGCACGGGACGCGAGAUAACCCCCGGUCAUGAUCCCAGAUGGCGUCCAGAGUCCCCAGAGCACUGAGCCACAGUAGGAACUUAUUUGACAACAGACCCCUUCCUGGCUUUCUGCCUGUCUCUCUCACCGCCCCCUCCCAUACCUGUGUGUCCUGUUGUCACCGCCCCCUCCACCCCCCCACCCCCCCGGGCACUGGAAUGUAUGUCUCUGAUUCUACUUCUGGGGGAAUCUCCACACACUUCCAAGAGGUGUGGAGCCCCUCGCCAUUCCGGAGCCUGAAGUGCAGCCUCCAAGAUAACAGUGCUGGGCAGUGAAUCCCGGGGGCAGGAGAUGCAUAGACCAGAGGGCCAAGCCCCCCUGACACUGGCUUUCUUUUCCCUCCCGAGCGCCUUCUUAGGGAUUGUCCUCACUUGCUGUUAACCAGACACUGUGUGCCUUUUAGCACAGAGACGGCACAAGGAAAGCGCGUAUUUCUAUUUAGAUCCUCACUAGCAAUAAUUUAGUGUGACAGAAUAGGUCAUCCGUCCUUAGUGACAGGAGAGCCGGGAAGCUGUCCAUCCUAUUCUGUUUUUUCAUUACAUUUUUUUCAAUGUUUACUUUUGAGACAGAGCAU